AAGAACGGACCUCUGGAAUGAAUUAAGUACGUAACCAGAGGUACCACUGUGAACACAAUUGAAAAUCCUGAUAGGUUAAAAGUCAGCUCAAGCAUACUCUGUAAAGCACAUCUGCUAUUUUAAAGUAUGCAAUUCUUUAAAAUUACUGUACAGUGGUACCUCGGGUUAAGUACUUAAUUCAUUCCAGAU
This is a non-coding RNA of Podarcis lilfordi (Lilford's wall lizard), 189 nucleotides long. NCBI's taxonomy places the organism in Eukaryota, Metazoa, Chordata, Lepidosauria, Squamata, Lacertidae. The record is from the annotation of a GenBank genome assembly.